UUAACAAAAUUCCAAAGGAUUAACGAGCAGCAGAACGGUGAUCAUGAAAGUUCUAAUUUGCUAAGGAGCGUAUAACGACUCAUCUCCUGAAUCAAUUAGCCCAAAAAAUUGACGUUCCUGAA
This 122-nucleotide ribosomal RNA is filed under the name Olea europaea subsp. europaea. RNAcentral describes it as "LSU_rRNA_eukarya". The record is from RNAcentral. Lineage: Eukaryota; Viridiplantae; Streptophyta; Magnoliopsida; Lamiales; Oleaceae.